Molecule: ribosomal RNA, 398 nt
Filed under: uncultured bacterium
Lineage: Bacteria
Description: bacterial SSU rRNA
Rfam family: Bacterial small subunit ribosomal RNA
Source: RNAcentral
GAACGAACGCUGGCGGCGCGCCUAAUACAUGCAAGUCGAACGAGAAGCUGUAGCAAUACAGUUGUACAGUGGCGAACGGGUGAGGAAUACAUGGGUGACCUACCCUCGAGUGGGGAAUAACCAGCCGAAAGGUUGGCUAAUACCGCGUACGCUUCCCAGUCUACGGGUUGGGAAGGAAAGCGAUGCCGUGGGUAUCGCGCUCAAGGUUGGGCUCAUGUCCUAUCAGCUUGGNGGUGGGGUAACGGCUCACCAAGGCAACGACGGGUAGCUGGUCUGAGAGGACGAUCAGCCACACUGGCACUGCGACACGGGCCAGACUCCUACGGGAGGCAGCAGUAAGGAAUAUUGCGCAAUGGGCGAAAGCCUGACGCAGCGACGCCGCGUGGGGGAUGAAGGUC